CCUACGGGUGGCAGCAGUCGAGAAUCUUUCACAAUGGGGGAAACCCUGAUGGUGCGACGCCGCGUGGGGGAAUGAAGGUCUUCGGAUUGUAAACUCCUGUCAUGUGGGAGCAAAUUAAUAAGAUAGUACCACAAGAGGAAGAGACGGCUAACCCUGUGCCAGCAGCCGCGGUAAUACAGAGGUGUCAAGCGUUGUUCGGAAUCACUGGGCGUAAAGCGUGCGUAGGCUGUUUCGUAAGUCGUGUGUGAAAGGCGCGGGCUCAACCCGCGGACGGCACAUGAUACUGCGAGACUAGAGUAGGGGAGGGGGAACGGGAAUUCGCGGUGUAGCAGUGAAAUGCGUAG
This 344-nucleotide ribosomal RNA is filed under the name uncultured bacterium. RNAcentral's name for it is "partial 16S ribosomal RNA". It matches the Rfam family "Bacterial small subunit ribosomal RNA", at positions 338 to 693 of the family's 1533-position model. The record is from RNAcentral.